UACAGAGGUCUCAAGCGUUGUUCGGAUUCAUUGGGCGUAAAGGGUGCGUGGGCGGCGCGGUAAGUCGGGUGUGAAAUCUCGGAGCUUAACUCCGAAACUGCAUUCGAUACUGCCGUGCUUGAGGACUGGAGAGGAGACUGGAAUUUACGGUGUAGCGGUGAAAUGCGUAGAUAUCGUAAGGAAGACCAGUGGCGAAGGCGGGUCUCUGGACAGUUCCUGACGCUGAGGCACGAAGGCCAGGGGAGCAAACGGG
Molecule: ribosomal RNA, 253 nt
Filed under: uncultured bacterium
Lineage: Bacteria
Description: partial 16S ribosomal RNA
Rfam family: Bacterial small subunit ribosomal RNA
Source: RNAcentral